AACCUAGCACACCUGCGGUGUGUACCUGCGGAGGGAUCAUUACAAGUGACCCCGGUUUACCACCGGGAUGUUCAUAACCCUUUGUUGUCCGACUCUGUUGCCUCCGGGGCGACCCUGCCUUCGGGCGGGGGCUCCGGGUGGACACUUCAAACUCUUGCGUAACUUUGCAGUCUGAGUAAACUUAAUUAAUAAAUUAAAACUUUCAACAAUGGAUCU
RNAcentral lists this unclassified non-coding RNA (216 nucleotides) under soil metagenome. RNAcentral describes it as "partial contains 5.8S ribosomal RNA, internal transcribed spacer 2, and large subunit ribosomal RNA". The record is from RNAcentral.